Molecule: unclassified non-coding RNA, 202 nt
Filed under: Hevea brasiliensis (rubber tree)
Lineage: Eukaryota; Viridiplantae; Streptophyta; Magnoliopsida; Malpighiales; Euphorbiaceae
Source: RNAcentral
GCUCAUGGCACUAGAGUUGGCAAAAGUGGCUAACAGUCAGCCUUCUCACUUAAUCAUCCAUUUAAAAAGUUUCAAGAGGACAGAAAAUUUUGCACGUAUUAUAAAGUGUCAUAUUGAAGAAAUUUCGGGAAGAGAACCUCAAGCUGUUAGAAUUUGUUCAGUGGUGAGUAAAUUGUGCAAAGAGUAUCAAGCUGACAUGAAA